Molecule: long non-coding RNA, 759 nt
Organism: Mastomys coucha (southern multimammate mouse)
Lineage: Eukaryota; Metazoa; Chordata; Mammalia; Rodentia; Muridae
Exons: 4
Source: RefSeq, a predicted model, not a curated record
CCUCUCUCCCUCCCUCUCUCUGUCCCUCUCUCUCUCUCUUUCCCUCCUUCCCUCCCCUCUCCUUUAAAACUGUAGCAUUGAUGAGCUGGGAAGAUGGCCCAACAGGUGGAGACACUUACACUGAGCCUGAUGUCUUGAGUUUUUCCUGGGGAUUAACCAGGAUCAACAUGGUCUGAGGAGAACUGAUUCUUCUUAUUUCCAUGCAGAACAUACCUUUAAUCCCUCCGGCAGGAAUACAGACACACCUUUAAUUGUGGCUUUCCUAUUGACUGGCUCCAGUAGAGUGGCGCCCAAUGUGGGGCUUGACUACAGGAUGCGCAAUGAAGAACACCUUUAGAAGUAGAGCUCUUGGGGAAAAGUGAAAGUGUUGGCAUUGAGGGCAUAUUUGUGUUUUUUCCACAAGAUGCUGAAGGAGCCAGGUGGCUGCCAGAGUGAUUAGUGAGACAUGCUGAUGCUGGGACAAAGAAUGAUGCUCACCGAGAUCUUGCUGAGUGCCCUGACAAUGGCAGCAGGGAAGUCGUAUUGGACAUCUGUUCCUGAUCAACCUUUGCAACAAUUGUCUGUAUGGUCAAGGCCAGAAGUACUUGUGACCUCUAUAAUACUCACCUGUUAGGAUACCCUUGGUCUAAGGAUAAAAAGUAUUUCAAAUUAUUGAAUUAUACUGCUAUGGGUCAGGGCCUACAUAUAUGUUUUAUUAGAAAUAGUACCAAUGUUGGAUUUGUUUCUGUGCACCCUAAGACUUGGAAGAAGAAUGUCUCU